Panicum virgatum (switchgrass) is the source of this 3086-nucleotide long non-coding RNA. RefSeq lists it as uncharacterized. Lineage: Eukaryota; Viridiplantae; Streptophyta; Magnoliopsida; Poales; Poaceae. The record is from RefSeq and is a predicted model, not a curated record. The transcript has 4 exons.
UUAGAGCAGCUGGGCUCGGCGAGCUGUCGGUUGGCCACGACAGUAAAAAAAAAUUACUGCGUCCGAUUGCAAAUCUACGACUCCCAUUUUCAGCUCACCCGUCACCCCCAUCCGUCCUUUGCUAUUACGGUAAAAAAAAUAUCCCCGCUUCCAGACCUUUCUUCUCCCCCGACACCACUCUUUAAUCACCUUCCCCCGUGAGGAGGUGGUGGACAGCCACAACGCUAGUGGUGGGAGGACGCGGUGUUGGCAAGGUGGCGCCGGCGUCAGCCCGCCGCCAGACCAGGCGCUAGCUCGCAGCCGGCCCUCGUCGUGGCGGCCCGCCAACCCGCCUCCUCUGCACGCCUCCGCAUCGUCUCGCCGUCCCCGUGCGCCCACGGCCUGCCCUCGUCGCAGCCGCCUGCCAGCUCGCCUCCUCCUCCACGCAUCGUCUCGCCGUCCCCCCGUGAAGUCGUCCGGCUGCAGUGCGCUCAAGGAGGCUGAGGCUCGCCUGUCUAACGUGCCCCUCACCACGCCCUUCACCAUCACAUCCUUGCGCCUCGAGACAAUCUCCAACAUCGCCGUGCACGUCAAGCUCCGCAACGGCGCCGUCGUUUAAGGGGAGGUUGACCUCCACCUUCCACCCGGCUCCUGUGAGGAUUGAGGGCACACACCGGCCUGCGAAGUGGCCAGCCACGGCCAUGGCUGACCUUGGGAAUUCCAACGCAAUGUGACCUCGCUUCUUCCCGUGAGCAGUUAAUGACGGUUGUGAUUCUACAAAUACGUUGUCCUCCUGUGCCUCCUGCACUCCUUACGAUUCAAGUGCAUACACCUUGUCAGCAGCUUCCAAAGUGUUCGACAGAAUGCUUAUGAGGAGGCCAACAUGAAGAUAGUAGUUGUCUCAUCUGCACAUAAACAACAGGUCUACCUGCCUGGUACAUUCAUCUAUGACACGAAAUUCUUUUCUACUUCACCUCCUAUUGACCUCUGUGCUUUAGUUUCCUUUUCCCUUUGGGUGGACAGAAGAUUGACCCAGUGUGGAGUUGUCUGAUUUGGGAGAGGAGCAAUUCGAUGGGAACGGGGCUGGCAGUCUAGCAAGCCAGUAGCUCAGUGCUUGCAUCCUGCAAUGUAUCCACGGAAGCAUUCCUCACAACUGAACAACAACAUCCAGCACAUGUCUGAUUGAAGCUAUAUAGAACCUCAGUGGCUAAAAGAUUAAGGAUGCCUUAAGGUAAAUUAUUUUUCAUGGUUGAAGUAUUCAGAUGAUUUCUGUUCACAUAGUAAGUUGCUCCCUUUUAGAUACAAUGUGGACUUUUUCAUCAUUUAUGCUGUGCAAAGAUGAAAUAGAUAUGAAUCUGACUCAAGCCAGCUGUUGUAAUUUUCUGAAAAAUAAACUUCAUUCCGCAACAUAAUUAUUUCUAUAGAAAAGUUAACAUGGAACAAAGGAAAAGUGGUUUGUCAACCAUAUUGUCAUGGUAUAUAUUUUUGCUGUCAUUCCUGAACCUAAUUUCUACAAGGACCAAAACAAAGGGUUAGGUUUUUAAUGGUUAUGAGUUUUAUAAUUUCAUUGUUGCCUCAUUGAAGUAUUUGGGUUACGAACCUCAAUCGCUUUUACAAAACAUUGUUGGGAUUCUCAGUGGAAAGUAUUAUGAAUUAAAUUAGAUACUGCAAGUGCUAAUAUCGGAAGAGGUAAAGUGCUAAUAUUGUAAAGUAGCAUGAAUUAAAUUAUAUACUACAAGGCUAAUAUUGGAAUCGCCUCUUCCGAUAUUAGCACUUGCAAUAUCAAAUUUAAUUCAUGCUACUUUCCACUUGAGAACAAAGUGCUACUGCCUCACAUAGUUAAUUUGCCACCACACAGGUGAUAGUGAAAGGUAGAUUACAGGUAUGGAAAGAUUUAGCUUUACACUUGAUAACUUUGUGGACGACUGCAUUGCCAUUACUAAUAAUCUAACAACUGUACUACUCAUGGUACUGGCAGAAGAGUGAAAAAAUUUGGUUAUUGAUAUUUCGGAAAUGUAUGCCAACCACUAGAGGCUCAGUACAUGAUAACUGGAAAAAAAAUAAUAAGCAUCCUAGGAUUGAACUGUGAGUCCCUAUACUUGGUUCUGCACUGAGCCUUGUAGCUUCACUAACUGUUGAAGAAUGCAUAAAGCAACUGUUUGUACAAAAACAGCACUAGCUGUACAAAGCCAUGACCAAGGAUCACCAAUAGCACUUGGAAUGCCUUAGUAAGAAUUAAUAGUUAUGAGAACUAAACCUCUAUCUAAUGCAUAUUAAGUAUUUAAGUUCUUUGUUCCAUAUUAGAACUGCUUGUUUAAUUUUGCGCAGCAUUUUGAAAAUAAAGCAAUGGUGCAUGUCUGUAUGGCCAACAAGAGAGCACAAUUCCAUUGCAAAUAUUUUGCAUCUUGCUACCUUAACCAAAUGUGAUUGAUCGGGCUAUUUCAGCAAAAUUAUCCUCGAACUAAUGGAAUGCUAAUCUGUAUGGGCCAUUUAUUUACUUUGCCCAUCUUAUGACAAUGAUAACUCUACUAAAUCUUUAAUCAAACAGUUAUCGCGCUUUCUGAAACAAAAAGGCAAUCACCUAACUCUUUAACGACCAAAAAUGCUCCUUGUGCUGCCUGAACAGCUUACACUAUCAUACAUGCACUCCUUAAUACUUGGGCUAUACAUCAGCUACCUGGGAUGUUUUGCACAAACUGAGACCCGUUACGAUCUUAUUUGGUUACACCUAGAAAAAAAAAGAAUUUUCUAAAACUUUAACUCACUUCUUUUUUCUCUUUUCCCCGUUAGAUCUUAUAAAAAAAGAUGUACAUACCAUUUUCAUAAAUGUACAUUCCCCUGCAAAUGAAAAUAUUUUUUACUACCAUAAUAAUUACCUCUAAGAUUAAAAGGGAAUUAUGCACGCAACUCUUUUCAGACCAUCCCAAAACAGCUGCAACUACAGCUCGAAUUUAGAUUAUGUACUUGGUAGAUUCUAGCCUUUUACUAGAGCACCAAAUGUGUUUUGUUGUACAUAUAAAAAAGUGUUUUGUUGUAACAUAAAUGUAAUCUAUUGUCUAUUAUAAUUCCCUACAAAUAAUGUACAAUAUUAAUAUUAUAGUUACCUA